Triticum aestivum (bread wheat) is the source of this 124-nucleotide non-coding RNA. The record is from Rfam. NCBI's taxonomy places the organism in Eukaryota, Viridiplantae, Streptophyta, Magnoliopsida, Poales, Poaceae.
UUAAUACUCCCCCGUCCGAAAUUAUUUGUCGCAUAAAUGAAUAAAAAUGAAUGUAUCUAGAAUUAAAAUAUAUCUAGAUACAUCCAUUUUCCUGAUAAGUAAUUUCCAACAGAGGGAGUAUAUC